CACGUAGGGACCAAGCGUUGUCCGGAUUUAUUGGGCGUAAAGAGCUCGUAGGCGGUUUGGUAAGUCGGGUGUGAAAACUCUGGGCUCAACCCGGAGAGGCCACCCGAUACUGCCGUGACUUGAGUCCGGUAGGGGAGCACGGAAUUCCUGGUGUAGCGGUGAAAUGCGCAGAUAUCAGGAGGAACACCGGUGGCGAAGGCGGUGCUCUGGGCCGGUUCUGACGAUGAGGAGCGAAAGAGUGGGUAGCAAACAGG
Molecule: ribosomal RNA, 254 nt
Filed under: uncultured bacterium
Lineage: Bacteria
Description: partial 16S ribosomal RNA
Rfam family: Bacterial small subunit ribosomal RNA
Source: RNAcentral